UACGAAGGGGGCUAGCGUUGCUCGGAAUUACUGGGCGUAAAGGGCUUGUAGGUGGCCAACUAAGUCAGACGUGAAAUCCCUCGGCUUAACCGGGGAACUGCGUCUGAUACUGGAUGGCUGGAGUGUGGGAGAGGGAUGCGGAAUUCCCGGUGUAGCGGUGAAAUGCGCAGAUAUCGGGAGGAACACCAAUGGCGAAGGCAGCUCGCUGGGACGGUACUGACGCUGAGACGCGAAAGCGUGGGGAGCAAACAGG
RNAcentral lists this ribosomal RNA (253 nucleotides) under uncultured bacterium. Its description in RNAcentral is "partial 16S ribosomal RNA". It matches the Rfam family "Bacterial small subunit ribosomal RNA", at positions 524 to 776 of the family's 1533-position model. The record is from RNAcentral.